Molecule: ribosomal RNA, 252 nt
Filed under: uncultured bacterium
Lineage: Bacteria
Description: partial 16S ribosomal RNA
Rfam family: Bacterial small subunit ribosomal RNA
Source: RNAcentral
UACGUAGGUUCCGAGCGUUGUCCGGAUUUAUUGGGCGUAAAGCGAGCGCAGGUGGUUUAUUAAGUCUGGUGUAAAAGGCAGUGGCUCAACCAUUGUAUGCAUUGGAAACUGGUAGACUUGAGUGCAGGAGAGGAGAGUGGAAUCCCAUGUGUAGCGGUGAAAUGCGUAGAUAUAUGGAGGAACACCGGUGGCGAAAGCGGCUCUCUGGCCUGUAACUGACACUGAGGCUCGAAGGCGUGGGGAGCAAACAGG